GGAGGGUGCAAGCGUUAUCCGGAUUUAUUGGGUUUAAAGGGUCCGUAGGCGGAUCUGUAAGUCAGCGGUGAAAUCUCACAGCUUAACUGUGAAACUGCCAUUGAUACUGCAGGUCUUGAGUGUUGUUGAAGUAGCUGGAAUAAGUAGUGUAGCGGUGAAAUGCAUAGAUAUUACUUGGAACACCAAUUGCGAAGGCAGGUUACUAAGCAACAACUGACGCUGAUGGACGAAAGCGUGGGGAGCGAACAGGAUUAGAUACCCUGGUAGUCCACGCCGUAAACGAUGCUAACUCGUUUUUGGGGCUUCGGCUUCAGAGACUAAGCGAAAGUGAUAAGUUAGCCACCUGGGGAGUACGAACGCAAGUUUGAAACUCAAAGGAAUUGACGGGGGCCCGCACAAGCGGUGGAUUAUGUGGUUUAAUUCGAUGAUACGCGAGGAACCUUACCAAGGCUUAAAUGGGAAAUGACAGGUUUAGAAAUAGACUUUUCUUCGGACAUUUUUCAAGGUGC
RNAcentral lists this ribosomal RNA (509 nucleotides) under bacterium symbiont of Megymenum gracilicorne. RNAcentral describes it as "bacterial SSU rRNA". It matches the Rfam family "Bacterial small subunit ribosomal RNA", at positions 527 to 1041 of the family's 1533-position model. The record is from RNAcentral.